AUACAGAGGGUGCGAGCGUUAAUCGGAAUUACUGGGCGUAAAGCGCGCGUAGGCGGCUUAUUAAGUCAGAUGUGAAAUCCCGGGCUCAACCUGGGAACUGCAUCUGAUACUGGUAAGCUAGAGUUUUGGAGAGGGAAGUAGAAUUUCAGGUGUAGCGGUGAAAUGCAUAGAGAUCUGAAGGAAUACCAGUGGCGAAGGCGACUUCCUGGCCAAAAACUGACGCUGAGGUGCGAAAGCGUGGGUAGCAAACGGGAUUAGAAACCCCAGUAGUCC
RNAcentral lists this ribosomal RNA (273 nucleotides) under uncultured bacterium. RNAcentral describes it as "partial 16S ribosomal RNA". It matches the Rfam family "Bacterial small subunit ribosomal RNA", at positions 523 to 796 of the family's 1533-position model. The record is from RNAcentral.